Molecule: transfer RNA, 71 nt
Filed under: Loxodonta africana (African savanna elephant)
Lineage: Eukaryota; Metazoa; Chordata; Mammalia; Proboscidea; Elephantidae
Rfam family: tRNA
About the family: Transfer RNA (tRNA) molecules are approximately 80 nucleotides in length. Their secondary structure includes four short double-helical elements and three loops (D, anti-codon, and T loops).
Source: Rfam by way of RNAcentral
GCAGAGGUGGUUCAGUGGUAGAAUUCUCACUCUCCAUGCCAGAGCCCUGGGUUCAAUUCCCAGCCAAUGUA